CCUACGGGAGGCAGCAGUGGGGAAUAUUGGACAAUGGGGGGAACCCUGAUCCAGCCAUGCCGCGUGUGUGAAGAAGGCCCUCGGGUUGUAAAGCACUUUCAGUGAGGAAGAACGCCUGGUGGUUAAUACCCAUCAGGAAAGACAUCACUCACAGAAGAAGCACCGGCUAACUCCGUGCCAGCAGCCGCGGUAAUACGGAGGGUGCGAGCGUUAAUCGGAAUUACUGGGCGUAAAGCGCGCGUAGGUGGCUUGAUAAGCCGGUUGUGAAAGCCCCGGGCUCAACCUGGGAACGGCAUCCGGAACUGUCCAGCUAGAGUGCAGGAGAGGAAGGUAGAAUUCCCGGUGUAGCGGUGAAAUGCGUAGAGAUCGGGAGGAAUACCAGUGGCGAAGGCGGCCUUCUGGACUGACACUGACACUGAGGUGCGAAAGCGUGGGUAGCAAACAGGAUUAGAUACCCUGGUAGUC
RNAcentral lists this ribosomal RNA (465 nucleotides) under Vreelandella stevensii. RNAcentral describes it as "partial 16S ribosomal RNA". It matches the Rfam family "Bacterial small subunit ribosomal RNA", at positions 338 to 795 of the family's 1533-position model. Lineage: Bacteria; Pseudomonadati; Pseudomonadota; Gammaproteobacteria; Oceanospirillales; Halomonadaceae. The record is from RNAcentral.